RNAcentral lists this ribosomal RNA (494 nucleotides) under uncultured bacterium. RNAcentral describes it as "bacterial SSU rRNA". It matches the Rfam family "Bacterial small subunit ribosomal RNA", at positions 29 to 518 of the family's 1533-position model. The record is from RNAcentral.
AUGAACGCUAGCGACAGGCCUAACACAUGCAAGUCGAGGGCAGCACAAGGAGCAAUCUGAGGUGGCGACCGGCGCACGGGUGAGUAACACGUAUGCAACCUGCCUGUAAGCGGGGAAUAACCCGUUGAAAGACGGACUAAUACCGCAUAAUACUAAAUUACUGCAUGGUAAUUUAUUUAAACAUUUAUGGCUUACAGAUGGGCAUGCGCAUGAUUAGCUAGUUGGAGAGGUAACGGCUCCCCAAGGCAACGAUCAUUAGGGGUUCUGAGAGGAAGGUCCCCCACACUGGUACUGAGACACGGACCAGACUCCUACGGGAGGCAGCAGUGAGGAAUAUUGGUCAAUGGACGAGAGUCUGAACCAGCCAAGUCGCGUGCAGGAAGAAUGUCCUAAUGGAUUGUAAACUGCUUUUGCAGGGGAAUAAAGUGCAUCACGUGUGAUGUUUUGUAUGUACUCUGCGAAUAAGGAUCGGCUAACUCCGUGCCAGCCGCAGC